Molecule: ribosomal RNA, 253 nt
Filed under: uncultured bacterium
Lineage: Bacteria
Description: partial 16S ribosomal RNA
Rfam family: Bacterial small subunit ribosomal RNA
Source: RNAcentral
UACGAAGGGUGCUAGCGUUGUUCGGAAUUACUGGGCGUAAAGGGUGCGUAGGUUGUUUAUCAAGUUAGUGGUGAAAGCCCAGAGCUUAACUCUGGAAUUGCCAUUAAAACUGAUAGGCUAGAGAAUGUUAGAGGUGAGUGGAAUUCCUAGUGUAGGAGUGAAAUCCGUAGAUAUUAGGAGGAACAUCAAUGGCGAAGGCAGCUCACUGGGUCAUAUCUGACACUGAGGCACGAAAGCGUGGGUAGCAAACAGG